GAUGAACGCUGGCGGCGUGCUUAACACAUGCAAGUCGAACGGAAAGGCCCUGCUUUUGUGGGGUGCUCGAUUGGCGAACGGGUGAGUAACACGUGAGUAACCUGCCCUUGACUUUGGGAUAACUUCAGGAAACUGGGGCUAAUAUCGGAUAGGAUCUCCUGCUGCAUGGUGGGCGUUGGAAAGUUUCGGCGGUUGGGGCUGGACUCGCGGCUUAUCAGCUUGUUGGUGGGGUAGUUGCUUACCAAGGCUUUGACGGGUAGCCGGCCUGAGAGGGUGACCGGCCACAUUGGGACUGAGAUACGGCCCAGACUCCUACGGGAGGCAGCAGGGGGGAAUAUUGCACAAUGGGCGGAAGCCUGAUGCAGCAACGCCGCGUGCGGGAUGACGGCCUUCGGGUUGUAAACCGCUUUCGCCUGUGACGAAGCGUGAGUGACGGUAAUGGGUAAAGAAGCACCGGCUAACUACGUG
This 468-nucleotide ribosomal RNA is filed under the name uncultured bacterium. RNAcentral's name for it is "partial 16S ribosomal RNA". It matches the Rfam family "Bacterial small subunit ribosomal RNA", at positions 28 to 507 of the family's 1533-position model. The record is from RNAcentral.